CCUACGGGAGGCAGCAGUGGGGAAUAUUGCGCAAUGGACGAAAGUCUGACGCAGCGACGCCGCGUGUGGGAUGAAGCCUUUCGGGGCGUAAACCACUGUUGCCCGGGACGAACCUCCCCAUUCGUGGGGACUGACGGUACCGGGUGAGGAAGCACCGGCUAACUCUGUGCCAGCAGCCGCGGUAAUACAGAGGGUGCGAGCGUUGUCCGGAAUCACUGGGCGUAAAGGGCGCGUAGGUGGCUUGGUAAGCGUGUGGUGAAAGUCCGGGGCUCAACCCCGGAUCUGCCGUGCGAACUGCCGAGCUUGAGCGAUGUAGAGGCAGGUGGAAUUUCGGGUGUAGCGGUGGAAUGCGUAGAGAUCCGAAAGAACACCAGUGGCGAAGGCGGCCUGCUGGGCAUUUGCUGACACUGAGGCGCGACAGCGUGGGGAGCAAACAGGAUUAGAUACCCUGGUAGUCCACGCCGUAAACGAUGGGUACUAGGUGUCUGGGGGAGCGACCCCCUGGGUGCCGACGCUAACGCAUGAAGUACCCCGCCUGGGGAGUACGGCCGCAAGGCUGAAACUCAAAGGAAUUGACGG
Molecule: ribosomal RNA, 579 nt
Filed under: uncultured bacterium
Lineage: Bacteria
Description: bacterial SSU rRNA
Rfam family: Bacterial small subunit ribosomal RNA
Source: RNAcentral